This 385-nucleotide unclassified non-coding RNA is filed under the name fungal sp. RNAcentral's name for it is "partial internal transcribed spacer region". The stretch from base 1 to 46 matches the Rfam family "Eukaryotic small subunit ribosomal RNA", at positions 1786 to 1831 of the family's 1831-position model. The record is from RNAcentral. Lineage: Eukaryota; Fungi.
AAGUCGUAACAAGGUUUCCGUAGGUGAACCUGCGGAAGGAUCAUUAACACGUAUCCAACGUUAAACAACCCUGUGAACUUUAAGUCCCCUCUUGCAGCCCAUGAGGAACAGCAAUCCCGGUAAAUCAUUGCCAAACAGUUUUGAUUCGGGACCUCUGUCCAAAAGGAGUUGCAAUCGAUGGCUUCCCCAAGCAGUUAGUGAAUGACAGUGUCACUGACUGUGUAAGGAUAACGCCUCACGGUUGCUAGAGGUCGAUCACCGACCGGCAGACAUGUCACAGGGUCACCACGCCCCUUAAUCACUCCACUUGAAAAUGCCCCGCCUAGUGGUAACGCGCUAGGUAAAAAAAACCGAACAACUGUUAACAAUGGAUAUCUUGGUUCUC